This 137-nucleotide ribosomal RNA is filed under the name Chloroflexota bacterium. Its description in RNAcentral is "Chloroflexi bacterium partial 23S ribosomal RNA". It matches the Rfam family "Bacterial large subunit ribosomal RNA", at positions 2797 to 2925 of the family's 2925-position model. The record is from RNAcentral. Lineage: Bacteria; Bacillati; Chloroflexota.
CUCCAAGAUAAGGUCUCCCACCGGGUUAACCGGGUAAGGGCCCUGGUAGACAACCAGGUUGAUAGGCCGGAGGUGUAAGAGAAGCAAUUCUUUGAGCUGACCGGUACUAAUAGCCCGAGGGCUUGUUCACCUAUAAC